AGAACGAACGCUGGCGGCAUGCCUAACACAUGCAAGUCGAACGAGACCUUCGGGUCUAGUGGCGCACGGGUGCGUAACGCGUGGGAAUCUGCCCUUGGGUUCGGAAUAACAGCGAGAAAUUGCUGCUAAUACCGGAUGAUGACGUAAGUCCAAAGAUUUAUCGCCCAAGGAUGAGCCCGCGUAGGAUUAGCUUGUUGGUGAGGUAAAAGCUCACCAAGGCGACGAUCUGUAGCUGGUUUGAGAGAACGACCAGCCACACUGGGACUGAGACACGGCCCAGACUCCUACGGGAGGCAGCAGUGGGAAUUUGGACAAUGGGCGAAAGCCUGAUCCGAGCAAUGCCGCGUGCAGGAAGACGGCCUUGGUAGUAACUGUCUUUGUACGGAGCGUAAAGUCUAGCCCUAAGUACGG
RNAcentral lists this ribosomal RNA (411 nucleotides) under uncultured soil bacterium. Its description in RNAcentral is "bacterial SSU rRNA". It matches the Rfam family "Bacterial small subunit ribosomal RNA", at positions 26 to 466 of the family's 1533-position model. The record is from RNAcentral.